CAGGGUCACACCUGGGGACACUGCUGGGCUCAGGGGGCUCAGGGUCACACCUGGGGACACUGCUGGGCUCAGGGGGUGCAGGGGACACUACUGGGCUCAGGGGCUCAGGGUCACACCUGAUGGCACCACUGGGCUCAGGGUCACACCUGGGGACACUGCUGACAAUCUCUGCCUGUUCCUCCAGCUCAGCACCUGCCUUCAGGUUGAGUUCCUCAAGUCCUGCUGAUUCACCCUUGUGCAAGUCACUUAACUGUUCUGUGCCUGCUGCCCAGCCCUGCAGGGUGCCCAGGCUGCAGCAGGGUGUUGUAAGCCUUCAUCCGCAGGAAUCCAGGGUGUUUUGAGAUGUGGGAGCUGUUAACAGAACACCGGGUGUCAUUAUCCAUUAUCAGAUAGUUUAUAAUAACAUACACACACCUCCUGGGCUGCUGGGUCCCUUCUGUGGUGUCUUGCUGCAGCUCUGAUUGCUUUGGGGUUGUUUUGUUAUUUCUAGAGAGAGAUUUUUCCCCAGUUUCGAGCCAUUCCCCAGUGAGUUGUCCCCUCUCAGACUGCUCCUAGAGCAGCCCCAUCCCCUGUGCUGAGGCAGACUCCAGAAUAUGUGAUGACUUUGCAGAGCUGCUUAACACCGAGUGAAGACACAACUUAAUCAGCUUCAGAAGCCACCACUCAUCAGCUGAGACACCUUAACUGGCUGCAUGCACGUUCCUGAAGCAAUUCCUGCUUUUAUAGCUCAUCCCAGCAUGGAUUCCCUCACCAAGGGAGUAACAUCUUCCUUCCAGUCAAAGACUUCCCACCUAACAAGGAACAACGAAUUCACUCCAGAUUUAUUCCAGAAUCUGCAGCCUCAGUCACACAAACCCGCCAGGGAAGCAAAGGAAACUCCUUCCAGCCCUGCAGAGCCACACCACACACCGAGCUCCUCAGCUGCCUGCCUGAUGAUGCAAGGAGUGAAUAAGCACGAAUAAAGACACAGAAACUGGGUGUUGUUUGUAGAAGUGAGGAGCAGAGCCCUCCGCCCAGCGCUGGGGAUACCGGAGCUCUUGCACAACUCGGCUCUCAGCCUGCUGCUCCUUUUUAUGCAUCUCUGUCCCUGUGGGCACUUUUCCACCAGGAGCACUGGGGAAGUUUUCCUUCCUCCCCAGCUGGAGGAGGAAGCAGCUCCUGGUCUGUGAGCAGCAGGGCUGGGAUGCCAGAGUGGGAUUCCUGCGUCAGGAUUUCCCUCAGACUCCGCACACCGUGAGCCUGUGCUGGCCUGCCAGGCUGGCUCACGGGCAGCUAAUUAGCGCCCUAAUUUCUAAGAAUUGGAAGAGGAUCGUUAAUUAAAAUUGGUUUGAAAGCUUCCAGUUUUGUAGAUGUUGAGUAAUUAAAACAACCAAUGGGCUCCUUUGUGUUUUCAUCUGAGAGCUCCCAGAUGGAGGCUGGAGACUCACCCUGGAGGGGAAUCAGUCCUGACCAGGCUGGGAAUAAGGGAGAAG
This 1472-nucleotide long non-coding RNA is filed under the name Parus major (Great Tit). Its description in RNAcentral is "lncRNA (ENSPMJG00000000270.1)". Lineage: Eukaryota; Metazoa; Chordata; Aves; Passeriformes; Paridae. The record is from RNAcentral.